GUGAAAAUCAAAGAUUAUAAAUGUGGAGAAAAUGUUACGGAUGUAGUAAUUCACAGUCACAAUGAGAUGAAGAUAAUAUGUAAAUAUCUAUGUAAGUAUUAUGUUCGAAUAUUUAACAAAUGAGGUAGCUCAAGGUAAUAGUUUUGUAGCAAUGUGGCCUUCUUUUUUCCAUUGGAUACUCCGCAUUAGUUCUCACGAGCUGCUCUAGCAAAAAGGACAAAUCCUAGAAAUUCUUACAAAAAUCAGAAACAUCAAGCAUCAAUCCUGUAAACUCUAAUAAUCAUAGUUAUUUGUCUAUUGUAUUUUCUAAAAAGUACCCACUGUCAUUAUGAAAAUAUUCUAAAAUAAAC
Molecule: long non-coding RNA, 350 nt
Filed under: Setaria italica (foxtail millet)
Lineage: Eukaryota; Viridiplantae; Streptophyta; Magnoliopsida; Poales; Poaceae
Description: long non-coding RNA (SITA_LNC000515)
Source: RNAcentral